RNAcentral lists this long non-coding RNA (411 nucleotides) under Arabidopsis lyrata. RNAcentral's name for it is "long non-coding RNA (ALYR_LNC002606)". The record is from RNAcentral. Lineage: Eukaryota; Viridiplantae; Streptophyta; Magnoliopsida; Brassicales; Brassicaceae.
AAGUUGCUCGCUGCGUCGGUUAAAAUGGACGCCGGUUAAUCUAGCGACAGCAGCGUCGUCAAUAACAAAGAAUCUGAAGAAAGAAAAAGAAGGGAAAUUGGCAAAACUAACCAACAAAAAAACUUUAAUUCAAUAACUAACCUCUAACCCCCCUAUUCACUCUCUUUCUCUCCCUAUCUCUCUCUACCUUCUUUCUACAAAACUAAUUUUUCUUUUUUUUGGUUAUUCACCUAAAUCACCCGAGAAAGAAUUCUUUCACAUCAAAAAUUCAACGACAGAAAAAAAAAAAAAAAAAAAAAAAAAAAAAAAAGGAUGUGAGUGUAAUUUUCAGACGCUCAGAUCUCUCGCUAGCGAAAUACAAAAGCACAAGGCCUAAGUCACAUCACGAUUCCCAUUUCAUAUAUAGCAAUG